GCGGGAAAAGUUCGCAUUUUGACUUGGUACGGAGGGAGUCAAGCUCGAACUUUUCCUGCGU
This 61-nucleotide microRNA precursor is filed under the name Heliconius melpomene (postman butterfly). RNAcentral describes it as "Hme-Mir-6307_pre stem-loop". The record is from RNAcentral. Lineage: Eukaryota; Metazoa; Arthropoda; Insecta; Lepidoptera; Nymphalidae.